RNAcentral lists this ribosomal RNA (438 nucleotides) under uncultured bacterium. RNAcentral's name for it is "partial 16S ribosomal RNA". It matches the Rfam family "Bacterial small subunit ribosomal RNA", at positions 339 to 795 of the family's 1533-position model. The record is from RNAcentral.
CUACGGGCUGCUGCAGUGAGGAAUAUUGCACAAUGGGGGGAACCCUGAUGCAGCAACGCCGCGUGGAGGAUGACGCAUUUCGGUGUGCAAACUCCUUUUAUAUGUCAAGAAAAUGACGGUAGCAUAUGAAUAAGCACCGGCUAACUCCGUGCCAGCAGCCGCGGUAAUACGGAGGGUGCAAGCGUUACUCGGAAUCACUGGGCGUAAAGGACGCGUAGGCGGGUUGGAAAGUCAGGUGUGAAAUCCUACAGCUUAACUGUAGAACUGCACUUGAAACUUCUAAUCUAGAGUAUGGGAGGGGGAGAUGGAAUUAGUGGUGUAGGGGUAAAAUCCGUAGAUAUCACUAGGAAUACCUAAAGCGAAGGCGAUCUCCUGGAACAUUACUGACGCUAAGGCGUGAAAGCGUGGGGAGCAAACAGGAUUAAUACCCUUGUAGUC